UACGGAGGGUGCAAGCGUUAUCCGGAUUUACUGGGUUUAAAGGGUGUGUAGGCGGGCCUUUAAGUCUGGGGUGAAAUCUCCGAGCUCAACUCGGAAACUGCCCCGGAUACUAUCGGCCUUGAAUUAUGUUGAGGUCGGCGGAAUAUAACAUGUAGCGGUGAAAUGCAUAGAUAUGUUAUAGAACACCGAUUGCGAAGGCAGCUGACUAAGCAUAUAUUGACGCUGAGGCACGAAAGCGUGGGGAUCAAACAGG
Molecule: ribosomal RNA, 253 nt
Filed under: uncultured bacterium
Lineage: Bacteria
Description: partial 16S ribosomal RNA
Rfam family: Bacterial small subunit ribosomal RNA
Source: RNAcentral